AAUAAGCCCAUCCAAACGGGCUCUUAGAUUGUUGCCUUUUACUUUUUGACUUUUUGUUGGUUUCUGUUUCAUUUCUCCACUGCUACACCUGUAGUGCUUAGUCAGACUACCAUUGCUUGACCUUACCAGGACCUUUCAAAGAUAAUCAAAAUUUCGAAUUCAUCUUUAUUGCCUUGUUGAUUUUAGAAUAAUUGGCAUAAUUUUAGGAUAAGGCCGAAAAUUUACACUUACAAUAAUUUUACUUCAAGAGGCAAUUGUGGAUUCAGAUUUAGACAUUAAUGUGGAUUGUGAAACUUCCAAGUUUAUUUAUAGAUAUUUAUGUGUAGAAACACUUUCUGCAUUAUUAGCCUUAACCCAUAAGAGAUGGUAAUAGUGUUGCACCCAUGUAGAAACACUUUCUGCAUUAUUAGCCUUGACCCAUAAGAGAUGGUAAUAGUGUUGCACCCAAGGGUGUGGCCUAGUGGUCAACAAAGUGGUGAGAAUCAUGAGAUCUCAGGUUCAGAUCCUAGCUGAGGCAAAAAACGUUAGGUGAUUUCUUCCCAUCUAUCUAAGUCUUGGUGGAUACAGUUACCUAUUGCUGGUGGGAGGUGGCAGGUAUCCGUGAGAUUAGUCGAGGUCCGCGCAAGCUGCCUGAACACCACGGUUAUCACAAAAAAGAGAGAGAUGGUAAUAGUGUUUCGUGGAUGUGAACAGAUCUCUGGCGAUCAAAGAUGCAACCUUUGUAGAAGCAUAAACUCUGCUGCAUGUUCAUAGGCUUAUUCAACCUAUUCAAAACUUUGCAUAUAAGAAAGGUAUUUGCUUUGGCCCUUUAGGAAGAACCUCUGCUUGUAGAUCUGAUCUUAGUGAGAGAGUUGAGAUUAGGCUUUCACUAAGGGGCCGUUAUGUUACAAUACGGCUUAUGCAAGGAUUAGUUCUCUUGGUAUUGUUUUUUAUCCACUAUUUGGUAUGUUGUAUUAUAUUGACAAUUGCAUAAUUUCUAAGAAAAAAGGUAUAAAGUUAUCCCGGCUUUAAUUAUCCCACCCCCACAAGGUAUAAGUUAUCCCAGUAUUAAUUUUUAUCUUGAGAUAACUUAUAUUAGGUUUGCUAACCAAACAAAGUAUUGAGGUGGGAUUAAAUUUUUAUACCAGCACUAUAUUUACUUAUACCUCAUACCCAAACGACCACUAAAAGAAGAAUUUAUACUAAAGGAAGGAAACAACUGUUUGAAACUUAUAAUAUAACUAUGCAAAUUUAAUAUAUUUGGUCAUCUUUUCUUGUGGUUUCUGAUAUUAUCGAUUGUUGUUUCCAAAUUUACAUGCACAUCCCUAUGGUUGUAGUUUUUGACUGCAAGUACUUUUUGUGACCCUUUUGGUGAUUUGCCUUGCUGUUUGUAUUCAGUGUAGAUGGGAUAACAUCUCUCAAUGUGAUGCUCCUAUCUUCUUCUUAUCCCCCCC
This 1433-nucleotide long non-coding RNA is filed under the name Nicotiana benthamiana. RNAcentral's name for it is "long non-coding RNA (NBEN_LNC028088)". The record is from RNAcentral. Lineage: Eukaryota; Viridiplantae; Streptophyta; Magnoliopsida; Solanales; Solanaceae.